Molecule: long non-coding RNA, 719 nt
Filed under: Homo sapiens (human)
Lineage: Eukaryota; Metazoa; Chordata; Mammalia; Primates; Hominidae
Description: long independently transcribed non-coding RNA 2406, transcript variant 2 (LINC02406)
Source: RNAcentral
AGCUCCCACACAGCCUGCAUCCUGAAAGGCUGGUCUCACUCCUACUGUGCUCCUGCAACAGCACCAAGUAUAUUUCCAGGCAACUGGUGAGCAGGGCUGAGAACUUGCCCCAGACCACAAGUCUCCCAGCUGAGAAAGCACAGCUCCUCAGUUGUCCCACAGAGCCUGCAGUGGCAAUCCACCUCCUUCAAAAGUUCUGUGAAUUCUCUCAGCUUUCCUGGACAGGCUAGAUGCUGACAGCUUGAUCUUGGACCUCAAGUUUUCCGAAUUGUGAUAAAUAGAUGUUUAUAAUAAAGCCACCCAGUCUGUGGUAUCUUGUUGUGAUAGCUGGACCUGACUAAUACACAGGGCAUGUGGCAAGUUUAAGGGGAAGAUGUCUUUCUGAAACAUUUGAAUCAAUCAGAAGUUCUUUUGGAACAACUAAGGAAAGAUGUCAGCUUGCUGCCUCAAAAUGCUGUUUGAUGACACUGGUUUAGAAAAUAGAAAACAGAUUUUUCUUUUCUCCGAAGAAAUAGAAAACUUUCCUCUGUACUCCAAGGGAUAUACAGGAAGAAUAGAAAUAUGAAUUUGAACUGUGACUAAGAGUCAGCAUGUACUUUCCCUUCUCUGGAAAAAGAAAAGAAAAAAGCUGGAGAAGUAAAGCUCAGAAGCACGGUUGGGUAUGGCUGAGUUAAGUAGACUACAUGAAAAAUAAACAGUCAACAAUCUUACAGAGAAAA